AGGGUCCACUAUAUUUAUUAAAUAAAAUAAUAAUAUAAAAGUACGUAGAGCCCACUAUAUUUAUUGAAUAUAAAAAAUAAAUAAAUAAGGAGAAGGGUCCACACCUUUAUUAAAUACUCUAUUCUCUCCCCGUCUUCCUUCUUCCUCACAAAUUUCUUUUCUCUUCUUUCACUUUUCUACCUUUGUUUUGUAGGUGAUGAUAGUCGUCGUGGAUCUUCGCUGGAAUUUGCAAUAAUAUGUCGGAAUGGAGGUCCGCUAGUCGUCGGAGUCGCUGUUCAUCGGAUUGGUGGUGCCCUCCAUGCAGCCUAUUGAUUUUGCAUGAUUUCUACCUAUAUAUAAUAGCUCCAUGCAUGAAGAUCAGUAAGGAUUCUGAGUUUUACUUACUGAACUUGAGCAUAGUAGAGAAGAUCUCGGUGGUAGUCCUCUUGAAGAUUCAAGCUCUAUCUUGGUGAAUUUCAGCUGAAUUCGUGGAAGAAAUCUUCAAAGCGCUUGCUCUUCGAUCGUCUAGACGGUCACGCUUCAUCGCAUAGUUGUCGUCUACUUGAUCGUUUAGGUUUGUGUUUAAAUAUGGUGCACUGCACGAUCGAGUGGCCUUCAUGCUUCAUUGCAUAGUCAAAGGUACUUGAUCGUUGCUAUACGAUUGUGGUUACUCAACCAACUUUACUAGACGAUCACAAGAAAAAGCUAUACGAUCAGGAAGCGAGGCUUCGCCUAGGCGGUUUAAGACCCAGUUUGCCUGUUUGAACCGGUUUACUCGAUGGUCUAUGUAAUAGAUAGUUUUCCUUUCCAUUUUUUUAGGCUAAUCAUCCCAGUCCAUUAAUUUUGGUGAAUGUACAUGAUAGUAUGUUUUAAUUAUAUGUCAUAUAGUAUGCCAUAUAGUUUUAAAUCCCACCAUAGAUUAUGCAUUUGUCAUGCAUCAUCUCUACAUUGUAAGAGUUAUGAUAUAGUAGCUUGCAUGAUUAUAUUAC
Molecule: non-coding RNA, 968 nt
Organism: Benincasa hispida (wax gourd)
Lineage: Eukaryota; Viridiplantae; Streptophyta; Magnoliopsida; Cucurbitales; Cucurbitaceae
Source: RefSeq, a predicted model, not a curated record